UAUCUCUGUAGAGUCUGCAUAUCAAUAAGCGGAGGAAAAGAAACUAACAAGGAUUCCCUUAGUAACGGCGAGUGAAGCGGGAAGAGCUCAAAUUUGAAAUCUUCAAGGUUCUACCUUGACGAAUUGUAGUUUAAAGAAGUGUUUUCUGUUAGAUGAGUAGCAAAAGUUCCUUGGAAUGGGACAUCAUAGAGGGUGAGAAUCCCGUAUUUGGUUAUUCAUUCUAGCUUUGUGAUACACUUUCAAAGAGUCGGAUUGUUUGGGAAUGCAGUCCAAAAUGGGUGGUAAAUUUCAUCUAAAGCUAAAUAUUGGCGAGAGACCGAUAGCGAACAAGUACCGUGAGGGAAAGAUGAAAAGAACUUUGAAAAGAGAGUUAAACAGUACGUGAAAUUGUCAAAAGGGAAGCGUUUGACACCAGUGUUGUUUUUCCAAAAUCAAUUACGAACUGGCUUGAUUUUGUGUUGUAUUGACCUUAUCAGCUUUCUGCACUUUUUUCGAGUCUUUCUUAAUGCACUUUUCGGUUAACAAGUCAACAUCAAUUUCUUUUGUUGUAAAAGAGUAUUCGGAAGGUGGCUUUCUUUUCGGAGAAAGUGUUUAUAGCCCUAUACUUCUACAAUCGGAGAGAUUGAGGUCUGCAGCGUAGAUCCUUCGGGGUUAGAUACAUUUGUGCUAAGUUGUAGCUUUUCAUAGACAACUUGUUGACUAUGUUUAGUCAUGCGGCUUACUCGCUUAGUGCUAUUUUACCUACGCUUAGGAUGUUGACUGAUAUGUAGUCGUA
This 775-nucleotide ribosomal RNA is filed under the name uncultured Neocallimastigales. RNAcentral describes it as "partial large subunit ribosomal RNA". It matches the Rfam family "Eukaryotic large subunit ribosomal RNA", at positions 24 to 644 of the family's 3401-position model. Lineage: Eukaryota; Fungi; Neocallimastigomycota; Neocallimastigomycetes; Neocallimastigales. The record is from RNAcentral.